CUGACAGGUGCAGAGAGUGCAGAAAAUUGUUGGAUACCAAAAUUCAAUUGAAUUUGAAUUUGAUUGUAUUGACAACAUUGGAACAAUGACAGGAUAUGAGCCUUGGAUGUAAAAAAAGGAAGGGCAUUUUGAAAUUUAGUCAGAGCUAACUGUCCAUCGAAUGUGAAAGCACAUAUCACCUGAAAGGAUUCUUAAAAGAAAUCUCUCAAACGGCACCAUCUAUUAAAGGACCAAGGAAUUUUAUACAAAGACACUUGCAGUUAAAAAAAAUUCAUAGAAGACAGCCCAGGGAGAAGACUGCAGAAUUGGAAGGACAGAAGGAAACUGCAGAAUUGGAAGGACAGAAGGAAACUGCAGAAUUGGAAGGACAGAAGGAAACAGCAGAUUUGGAAGACUGGAAGGAAGAAAGACAGCAUAAAAGACUGAAUGGACUUUGAGAGAUUAAGUUAAUUUUUAAUGAUUGUGUUACUAGAGCUGCAUUUUAUAAAGUUGGGGUUAGAUAGUGAUUAGUUUAGAAGAAGGGGGCUCAGCUUUGUUAAUAGUUUUUGUUUAGUAUUCACUGUUAAGAGUUAGGAAAAUAAAUUGUUAU
This is a non-coding RNA of Chiloscyllium plagiosum (whitespotted bambooshark), 589 nucleotides long. The record is from RefSeq and is a predicted model, not a curated record. NCBI's taxonomy places the organism in Eukaryota, Metazoa, Chordata, Chondrichthyes, Orectolobiformes, Hemiscylliidae.